This 571-nucleotide long non-coding RNA is filed under the name Prunus persica (peach). RNAcentral describes it as "long non-coding RNA (PPER_LNC008197)". The record is from RNAcentral. Lineage: Eukaryota; Viridiplantae; Streptophyta; Magnoliopsida; Rosales; Rosaceae.
AGACAUUUACGAGUACAUACUCAAACUCUCGGAAACCUUACAAAUUACCCCCUUUGUUAGCCAAACCGAUAGUUAAUCUGCUAAAUGCUGAUGUCGCAUUUGUGGGACCUAUUUUUUUAAUUGACGUGGACUCCACAUAAGAAAUAAAAUAAAUAAAAUAAAUGAAAAACAAUAAAAUAAAAUAAAAUAAAGAAGAAUAAAAAACUUUUUAAAAAAUAAAUUUUUUUUAAAAAAAACUCAUCUUCUCGCCCCUACCCUCUUCCCCAGAGGGAAAAAGAAGUAAAGAUAGCCCCACUCCCGUCCGCCACUAGUUCUGACAUCCCCCUCCCUUCCAGCGUAACCUCCAACCCACCUUCCUCAUAUCAUCGUCCUUUACGAAAAAACUGGUUCUACCCUUGCCGAUCGAUUUCUCACAGCACCCAGAUGGCAACGAUGUCGUGAACCCAACCCUCAUAAAUCUACCAUACAUCUCUGAUGACGUGCAGAUCUCUUCCUCAGACCUAUUGGGUAGGGCUCUGAUAUUGGUUGGGGAUAGGAUAGGACUGAGGGAAAAUGAGGUGGUGGGUGGUGG